UGUGCCAGCCGCCGCGGUAAUUCCAGCUCCAAUAGCGUAUAUUAAAGUUGUUGCAGUUGAAAAGCUCGUAGUUGAAACUUGGGCCUGGCUGGCGGGUCCGCCUCACCGCGUGCACUCGUCCGGCCGGGCCUUCCUUCUGAAGAACCUCAUGCCCUUCACUGGGCGUGCUGGGGAAUCAGGACUUUUACUUUGAAAAAAUUAGAGUGUUCAAAGCAGGCCUUUGCUCGAAUACGUUAGCAUGGAAUAAUAAAAUAGGGCGUGCGUUUCUAUUUUGUUGGUUUCUAGAGACGCCGCAAUGAUUAACAGGAACAGUCGGGGGCACCAGUAUUCCGUUGUCAGAGGUGAAAUUCUUGGAUUUACGGAAGACUAACUACUGCGAAAGCAUUUGCCAAGGAUGUUUUCAUUAAUCAGUGAACGAAAGUUAGGGGAUCGAAGACGAUCAGAUACCGUCGUAGUCUUAACCGUAAACUAUGCCGACUAGGGAUCGGGCGAUGUUCUUUUUCUGACUCGCUCGGCACCUUACGAGGAAUCAAAGUUUUUGGGUUCUGGGGGGAUUAUGGUCGCAAGGCUGAAACUUAAAGAAAUUGACGGAAGGUCACCACCAGGCGUGGAGCCUGCGGCUUAAUUUGACUCAACACGGGGAAACUCACCACGUCCAGAUGAAAUAAGGAUUGACAGAUUGAGAGCUCUUUCUUGAUUUUUCACGUGGUGGUGCAUGGCCGUUCUUAGUUCGUGGGGUGACUUGUCUGCUUAAUUGCGAUAACGAGCGAGACCUUACUCUGCUAAAUAGCCAGGCUAACUUUGGGUGGUCGCGGCUUCUAGAGAGACUAUCACUCAGUUGAUGGAAGUUUGAGGCAAUAACAGGUCUGUGAUGGCGU
This 878-nucleotide ribosomal RNA is filed under the name uncultured fungus. RNAcentral describes it as "SSU rRNA". It matches the Rfam family "Eukaryotic small subunit ribosomal RNA", at positions 563 to 1473 of the family's 1831-position model. Lineage: Eukaryota; Fungi. The record is from RNAcentral.